UUGACGGUAACGAGUUAACCACACCUUAAGGCACACGAUGAUGUCAACCUUACCAUUGUCAAACAGCUCCAAAUAAAACCGUUAGUUUCCGUAGGCCGUAAAUAUAUAUAUAUAUAUAUAAUUUAUAUGAAACAAAAUUCGAAUGAAUAUGAUAAAACUUUAAAGUAAUAACAAUUUUUUAACAGAGAUGGCUAUUUUAGGGUGUAGGUACGCCCAGAUACAAUGUGAAUGCUUAUUAAUAAAUCUAAAUCUAUUUUGACCUACCUCAGAAGAUAAAGCUAGAGAAAAUGUCCAAGCUUCGUGAUUAGCACCCCAUUCCAUGCGGCUGUUGAGAAGAUCUUGGACAGUGUCAAUAGAUGGCUCAUACUGCGGUACAGUAAAUGUAGAAGCAAGUCCAGCUCCGUAAGCACUUACCAAAAUCAAACUUGAAACUAAAAGCCAACCAAUAACAGAACGAAUGCGCCAAGAGUCGCUUACUAUAUACUGAGACUGAAAAUAAAUCGGAAAAAAGGCCUAUUGUUACAAAUAGACAUUUAAAAAUGUUGUUGUCUACAACACCUACAAAAUCUAACCUGUGAAAUUAUAGUACCAAAGACAAUUAAUAGAGCUUUGUUAGAAGAACAUCCCUGAGCGAUUGUCAAACCGAUGCUGGCAUACACAAAUGUAAUCACGACAGCUAUCCAUAUACUUUUACCGAAUGGCAGAAAAGGUAACUCCCAACUUUCCAAAACUCUAAAAACAAAUAAUCAUGUAAUCAUGUAAAAAUGCAAUUUGUUUUUGUGUCUUUAUGAAUUAUGAAUACAACAAACCUUGGAGCUGGUACCAAGCAUAUUACAGCCGAUCUGACAACAGAAACUGAAAAAUCCAUGGCUUUCCAUUCUUCAUACCACGAAUAUAAAGCGGCUGAAAGACACAUCGAAAACAUUAACUAGGGAAAAGUGCUUUCAUUAUGUGUAAACGACUUUUUUAUGGAGCUAUUGCUCUUGACACUGAAGUCUUUUAAGCUUCACCAGGAGAGGUAAACGAAGUCAAGGGCUCAGGCGGUAAAGCAGAGUUUUUAAAGGCCUAAAAGCUCAAAGCCUUCUUUCUGCUUCGCUAUUGCAUAUACCAACAGAUCGAAAUUGGGAUCCGAUAAGAAGAUCCGGCGAGAAACUCGACGGACUGAUGGUAUGAGCUACGUCGUCGCCGCUACGAAAAUCACUUCAGCAGAUGGUAGUGUUAGAACUAGAUACGUCCAUCGGGACGUGCUUAAGGCGUCGCCGAUGACUGGGCGAAGGGUGAAGUUAGUGGCCGUUACGAAACUGUUAUCGUUCCGCAUCGCGAAGAUCUACAUUGGUCACGUUUCACGGUGCUGGGACGGCUAAGGAUUAUAUACCAAACUAAAAUUAGUUUUAUUCUUAUUUCUAUUUAGUGUUCGAAACGUCGGAAAUAAUAUAAAGACAAUAAAAACACUAAAUUAAAUUUUAAGUUGUUUUAAGUAUAUUAUUAUUAUUACGUCUAGGACUCGCGAAAACCAAAAAUAAAAUACUAGUAAUCCCAAGACUUAGAGGGAAGCUUAUGAGAGAGCAAGGGCCGCAUGAGCGAAAAUCACUUCCUAAGAUGAUAGGUCAUGCUCGGACGUACGCAAGUUUUCUAAGAUGUUUCUUAAUGAUAGUUAUGAUAGUAAUAUGAUAGUUUACUCCGCUUAAAGAUAAUGAAGUCUGCCGAGGAUGAAAGUAGCGCGUUCACGGACUGCCUUUUUAUAUGAGGCUUGAAAAUCAUGGAUUUAUCUAGAUGACUCCCAGAUACAUGAUAAUCCUGGGCUAGGGUAUAGACGCUUUCACCGUAUAAUGGUGUCACGCGAAUUGCUUAAAAACAAUGCGCUUAUUUCAUACUUUUAGCGGUAAUCACUGAGGGGCCUGUCUGUGCUUCACUAGGAAUCUUGAAAACGAUUGGAUUGAUAUUCUGCGAACUAACAACGUGUAACAUCUUUUAUUAUUCCUUGGAUUUAAAAGUUUACGCAUUGCUGAUGUGUAUAUUAAUAAAUAAUCUUGUCCUUAUAUUCUUGUUUAAAAUUAAAAUUAUUUACUGUGAUAGUUAUAUAAGUAAAAAUUAAAUAAGUUCACGACGGCGACAAGUUAAAUAAACGACUCGAAAAAAUGUUUAAUGUUUUGUAUUCUCAGGUUCAUAGUCUGGCACCGAAGCCACUAAAGCUAAUGGAUAUUUUGUUAUUUUAACACGACAUGAAACAUACGGUUAGCGCCACCUCAAAACUUACUUCAAAUUAAUAAUCUUGAUACUUUUAAAACAAGUUUAAUGUAGUGUGUAUGUCUAUUUAAUAAUUUCAUUUGAUUCAUCAUAAUUUAACUAGUAUGUACUAGGUAUAUGAAUGAUUGUGAAUCUACCUAUGACUGAUUAAGGUAAUAAAUAAACGACCCCUUGGAAUUUA
Molecule: long non-coding RNA, 2428 nt
Organism: Bombyx mori (domestic silkworm)
Lineage: Eukaryota; Metazoa; Arthropoda; Insecta; Lepidoptera; Bombycidae
Exons: 2
Source: RefSeq, a predicted model, not a curated record